AAUGAAUUGCCUGAUAAAAGGAUUACCUUGAUAGGGAUACCAUAUAAUUUAAAAUAUUAUAUUCAUUA
This 68-nucleotide transfer RNA is filed under the name Pterygota sp. 3 LC-2017. RNAcentral's name for it is "tRNA-Ile". The record is from RNAcentral. Lineage: Eukaryota; Metazoa; Arthropoda; Insecta.